RNAcentral lists this ribosomal RNA (508 nucleotides) under uncultured bacterium. Its description in RNAcentral is "bacterial SSU rRNA". It matches the Rfam family "Bacterial small subunit ribosomal RNA", at positions 8 to 526 of the family's 1533-position model. The record is from RNAcentral.
AGAGUUUGAUCCUGGCUCAGGAUGAACGCUGGCGGCGUGCCUAAUACAUGCAAGUCGAACGAGGUGCUUUUGUAGCAAUACGAGAGUAUCCUAGUGGCGAACGGGUGAGUAACGCGUUGGUGACCUACCCCAAAGUGUGGGAUAACAGUCCGAAAGGACUGCUAAUACCGCAUGUGGUCGUUGGAUUUAGAAACUGAUGACUAAAGGAGCAAUUCGCUUUGGGAGGGACCUGCGUCCCAUCAGCUAGUUGGUGAGGUAACGGCUCACCAAGGCGACGACGGGUAGGGGACCUGAGAGGGUGGCCCCCCACAAUGGAACUGAAACACGGUCCAUACACCUACGGGUGGCAGCAGUAGGGAAUAUUGCACAAUGGGCGAAAGCCUGAUGCAGCAACGCCGCGUGUGUGAUGAAGGCCUUCGGGUCGUAAAGCACUUUUCUGGGAGAUGAGAAAGGACAGUAUCCCAGGAAUAAGUCUCGGCUAACUACGUGCCAGCAGCCGCGGUAAUAC